RNAcentral lists this ribosomal RNA (948 nucleotides) under Omphalina chionophila. RNAcentral describes it as "LSU rRNA". It matches the Rfam family "Eukaryotic large subunit ribosomal RNA", at positions 38 to 966 of the family's 3401-position model. Lineage: Eukaryota; Fungi; Basidiomycota; Agaricomycetes; Agaricales; Omphalinaceae. The record is from RNAcentral.
GCAUAUCAAUAAGCGAGGAAAAGAAACUAACAAGGAUUCCCCUAGUAACUGCGAGUGAAGCGGGAAAAGCUCAAAUUUAAAAUCUGGCGGUCCUUGUGGCUGUCCGAGUUGUAAUCUAGAGAAGUGUUAUCCGCGCUGGACCGUGUACAAGUCUCCUGGAAUGGAGCGUCAUAGAGGGUGAGAAUCCCGUCUUUGACACGGACUGCCAGGGCUUUGUGAUGCGCUCUCAAAGAGUCGAGUUGUUUGGGAAUGCAGCUCAAAAUGGGUGGUAAAUUCCAUCUAAAGCUAAAUAUUGGCGAGAGACCGAUAGCGAACAAGUACCGUGAGGGAAAGAUGAAAAGAACUUUGGAAAGAGAGUUAAACAGUACGUGAAAUUGUUGAAAGGGAAACGCUUGAAGUCAGUCGCGUUGGCCAGAAAUCAACCUUACUUCUUGUGGGGCGUACUUUCUGGUUGACGGGUCAGCAUCAAUUUUGACCGUUGGAAAAAGGUUAGGGGAAUGUGGCAUCUUCGGAUGUGUUAUAGCCCUUGAUUGUAUACAACGGCUGGGAUUGAGGAACUCAGCACGCCGCAAGGCCGGGUUUUUAACCACGUAACGUGCUUAGGAUGCUGGCAAAAUGGCUUUAAUCGACCCGUCUUGAAACACGGACCAAGGAGUCUAACAUGCCUGCGAGUGUUUGGGUGGAAAACCCGAGCGCAUAAUGAAAGUGAAAGUUGAGAUCUCUGUCGUGGAGAGCAUCGACGCCCGGGACCAGACCUUUUGUGACGGUCCCGCGGUAGAGCAUGUAUGUUGGGACCCGAAAGAUGGUGAACUAUGCCUGAAUAGGGUGAAGCCAGAGGAAACUCUGGUGGAGGCUCGUAGCGAUUCUGACGUGCAAAUCGAUCGUCGAAUUUGGGUAUAGGGGGCGAAAGACUAAUCGAACCAUCUAGUAGCUGGGUCCCUGCCGAAG